AACCCAUGGUGAGGGCACCUUCUCAAUUAGUCCUUAUACCUCUCCCAUGCAUUAUAUAGAGUCUCUAAAUCUAUUUUCAUGAAGAUAGAGAUAUCAUUCCUCAGCUU
Non-coding RNA from Gossypium arboreum, 107 nucleotides. The record is from Rfam. NCBI's taxonomy places the organism in Eukaryota, Viridiplantae, Streptophyta, Magnoliopsida, Malvales, Malvaceae.